GUGAGGAAUAUUGCGCAAUGGGGGCAACCCUGACGCAGCGACGCCGCGUGGGUGACGAAGGCCUUCGGGUCGUAAAACCCUGUCGGGAGGAAAGAAAUGCGUUCAAGCCAACACCUUGGACGUUUGACGGUACCUCCAAAGGAAGCACCGGCUAACUCUGUGCCAGCAGCCGCGGUAAUACAGAGGGUGCAAGCGUUGUUCGGAAUUACUGGGCGUAAAGGGCGUGCAGGCGGCUUGUCAAGUCAGAUGUGAAAGCCCACGGCUCAACUGUGGAAGCGCAUUUGAAACUGGCAGGCUUGAGUACCAGAGGGGAAAGUGGAAUUCCCGGUGUAGAGGUGAAAUUCGUAGAUAUCGGGAGGAAUACCGGUGGCGAAGGCGACUUUCUGGCUGGAUACUGACGCUGAGACGCGAAAGCGCGGGGAGCAAACAGG
This 431-nucleotide ribosomal RNA is filed under the name Candidatus Electronema palustre. RNAcentral's name for it is "bacterial SSU rRNA". It matches the Rfam family "Bacterial small subunit ribosomal RNA", at positions 354 to 776 of the family's 1533-position model. The record is from RNAcentral. Lineage: Bacteria; Pseudomonadati; Thermodesulfobacteriota; Desulfobulbia; Desulfobulbales; Desulfobulbaceae.